GAUGAACGCUAGCUACAGGCUUAACACAUGCAAGUCGAGGGGCAGCAUGAACUUAGCUUGCUAAGUUUGAUGGCGACCGGCGCACGGGUGAGUAACACGUAUCCAACCUGCCGAUGACUCGGGGAUAGCCUUUCGAAAGAAAGAUUAAUACCCGAUGGCAUAGUUCUUCCGCAUGGUGGAACUAUUAAAGAAUUUCGGUCAUCGAUGGGGAUGCGUUCCAUUAGGUAGUAGGCGGGGUAACGGCCCACCUAGCCAACGAUGGAUAGGGGUUCUGAGAGGAAGGUCCCCCCACAUUGGAACUGAGACACGGUCCAAACUCCUACGGGAGGCAGCAGUGAGGAAUAUUGGUCAAUGGACGAGAGUCUGAACCAGCCAAGUAGCGUGAAGGAUGAAGGUCCUACGGAUUGUAAACUUCUUUUAUAAGGGAAUAAACCCUCCCACGUGUGGGAGCUUGUAUGUACCUUAUGAAUAAGCAUCGGCUAACUCCGUGCCAGCA
This 496-nucleotide ribosomal RNA is filed under the name uncultured bacterium. RNAcentral's name for it is "bacterial SSU rRNA". It matches the Rfam family "Bacterial small subunit ribosomal RNA", at positions 28 to 513 of the family's 1533-position model. The record is from RNAcentral.